CGGGCCAAAGGUUUUUUUUUUUUUUUUUUUUUUUUAAUGUGGGGGGAAUAAGUAUUCAAAUGCUGGUUCUACUUGUUCUGGUUAAGACGGAAGCAAUCGCAAGUCAUUUUUUUUUUUUUUUUUGGAGACAGAGUCUCGCUCUCUCACCCAGGCUGGAGUGCAGUGGCAGGAUCUUGGCUCACUGCAAGCUCCGCCUCCCGGGUUCACGCCAUUCUCCUGCCUCAGCCUCCCGAGUACCUGGGACUACAGGUGGCCGCCACUACACCAGGCUAAUUUUUUGUAUUUUUAGUAGAGACAGGGUUUCAUCGUGUUAGCCAGGAUGGUCUCGAUCUCCUGACCUCGUGAUCCGCCUGCCUCCGCCUCCCAAAGUGCUGGGAUUACAGGCAUCAGCCACCGCGCCCCGCCAAGUCAAAAUUUUACUAAGAAAACUGGACCCCAGAAACUCCUUUAAUAUCAGACUUUUUUUUUUUUUUUUGAGACAGAGCCUUGCUCUGUCACCCAGGCUGGAGUGCAGUGGUGGGAUCUCAGCUCACUGCAACCUCCAAGUCCUUGGUUCAAGCAAUUCUCGUGCCUCAGCCUCCUGAGUAGCAGGGAUUAUAGGCACAUGCCACUAUGCCUGGCUAAUUUUUGUAUGUCUAGGAGAGACAGGGUUUCACCAUGUUGGCCAGGCUGGUCUCGAACUCCUGGCCUCAAAUGAUCUGCCCUCCUCGGCCUCCUAAAGUACUGGGGUUAUAGGUGUGAGUCACCAUGCCCAGCCUUAACAUCAGAGAUCUAAUGUGAGGUGAGGGGGACAGUGUAUGGAAUUUUGCAAGUCCAGGAACUUAGGUGUGAAAAUCUUUUAUUUUUAAAAAUUUUGUGUAGAGACAGGGUCUCACUCUGUUGCCUAGGAUGGUCUCAAACUCCUGGCCUUCCGUGAUCUGCCCACCUUGGCCUCCCAAAGUACUUAGGUUACAGGCACGAGCCACUGCACCUGGCCAGAAAAUGAAUCUUUAGUUUCACUAGCCUCUGAACGAAAUCCAGUAUUUCUGCCAAUUUUGGAGGUAGGCACCAAAUCACAGUAGCAUUAGACAACCUGUGCUUUAGUCAACAAAAUAAAUUGGAUAUUUUCGUAUAACAUCAUGGCCAUUGUAGAUUGCUACUUCAAAAUAAAAGUAGUUACUAGAUCUGCUGAUAGAUCUUGUAUUUAGUGUUAAUAAAAACACACUUAACAAUUUAAAAAUAUUUUGAUAACUAUUAUUUUAAUGGCAGUUUCCUUUUGCAAACCUAUGUAUUUUAUUCUUUUAAACAUCACUGAGCAGAUUCACAGAUUUCAUCGAAUUGCCAAAGGGGUCCAUGACUCAGAAUGCACUGUGUCUUAAAGCAGGUCCUCCUAAGCAAGGGGUAUUGAAAGGGGAUCCACCUCAGAGACCUAAGACGCAGGUUCUAAUCCUGACAAGUUGCUUGACCUCAGACAGGCUUCUGUCUCUCAUGCCUUCACUUUUAUCUCUAUUAAAAUAGAAGUGGGCCAGGUGCAGUGGCUCACAGCUGUAAAAAGCACUUAGGGAGGCCAAGUGGGGAGGAUAGCUUGAGGCCAGGAGUUGAGACCAGCCUGGGCAACAAAGCAAGAACCCAUCUCUACAAAAAAAAAAAAAAAGCAGCAUCUGAAGCAGCAUGUGGGGAGCAAACGAGAUGCAAUUGUGAAUGUCUCCUGACAGCAGCUUCUCAAGCUCAGGUGGCCACUUAAACUCACAUAAAUCCAUGUUUGGUUACCAAAGAUAAGCAUUUAAGCAACAUUUAUAAUUUCGUAACCUGCCUAUGUUGGGGGAAUGCAACAUUGGUCAUUCCUGCAAUACUUGCCCUAGCACACACGCAGCCCAGGGACGUUUUUCCAACCUAAUGAUGCUCACAUUUGAAAUUUUUUCCCACCCUACUAUAGACCUCACUAUUCUUGCAAAGAAGACUUUGUUCUAUCUCAACACUUAGAACUCAUGAUUCUGUUCCUGAGCUGUCCACCUCUGCCAGUGGGAGACACCCUAGACUAAGGUGAGAGGUUAAGGAAGCUAGUGGAAGGCUGGGUGUGGUGGCUCACACCUCUAAUCCCAGCACUUUGGGAGGCCGAAGUGGGAGGAUCACUUGAGGUCAGGAGUUCAAGACCAGCCUGGGCAACAUGGUGAAACCGUCUCUACUGAAAAUACAAAAACUAGCCAGGCAUGGUGACAUGUGCCUAUAAUCCCAGCUACUCGGGAGGCUGAGGUGGGAUAAUUGCUUGAACCUGGGGGGCAGAGGCUGCAGUGAGUACUGCUGCACUCCAGCCUGGGUGACAGAGCAAGACUCCACCUCAAAAAAAAAAAAAAAAAAAAAAAAAAAAGGAAGCUAGUGGAGAAAGACUGCAGGUGCCAGAGUUCAGCACAGCAGGUUUGACUCCCCUGUAUCAGCUGCAUGAUGCUGAGCAAGUUAACAUCUCUGAAGAUCAAUUUUCCCUUGCAAAGAUGAAGGCAAAUGCCUUCCAUUGUGAGGAACCAUCAAAAUAAUGGAGGGGAUACUAGUGAAUGUUAGUGGGCGCCAGUGCUUGUCCCUCCCAUCCAGAGACCUGGUCCCCCCUAUCCAGGAGUCUUGAUUUCAAUGGUCGAAGGCCCUUCCCACAGCUUUCCAGUGAUGCAGACAGGCUGAGGUAUGCCCUUUUCUUCAGAAAACUGGCUGUUACAAUUUGCAAAGCCCGAUGCAAAAUAUUUUCAAAAUUGCUAUUAAAAAAAUUAAGAAUUUAAAGUCGAUGACAGAACAUGCAACCAAACAGGGGGCCUCCUGACUAUGGGGCCCUUUGUGACAGCACAGCCUAUGAAGACGGUCUGUCUCCAACUCACAUGGCUCUUCCCACCCUGGUUCCACACUACAAUCACCUGCAGAACUUUAGAAAGUAGAGAUGCCCUUGUACCUCCCCUGAGAUAUUUCAAACACCAAAGAGGCCCCCAGGGGACCGCAGCAGGCAGGCACGGUGGAGAGCUACUGGAGUAGAGCCUUAGGAUGCCUUGGAAGACUGUCAUGGCCCAACAUCCACAAGCAGCAGGCAAAACUGUCCCCAUAAAGCCCAGAUAAGACAAAUACUUGCAAAUGUAACAUCUCAGGGUCUUUAGGACCCGUAUCACGUGCCCCAUGGAAAAAGCUAUUAAUGCCUCCCACCCCUAUGAGGCUGCCUUACUGUGCAGACAGCAGAGGAUGCUCAUGAGUUCAGCAUCUCCCCUUCCAGGUUUUCACCGGCACAGCCCACUCCAGAGGAACCUGCUUCCCCGUGUCCUUUGUAGAGCUAUGGUGUGUGACUAGGUGGGGAGGCAAGCAGCAGCUUAUGUGCGACUUCCCAGCGGUGUUAAGGACAUGACCUUCUGUCCUAGUUGGCGCUUAAGGUGUCAUCUGAGACUAUGUGUUGAAGAUGUGUGUGGCAGGGGGCAUGGGAAGAUAGAAAUCAUGAUCCCUGCUGAUCAUAAGGCCACAGUACCUAGAUCUUGGUUAUUCCUCCUCCCCCUACAAAAGAAAAAAAGCAAGCAGGGCUCAGGGGGUGGGGGAGACAGAGGGAAGCCAACUUCUCUUAAGUCAGUAGAUUGCAUCAUUAGGCCAAAUGCCUGACAUGACCCAUUUUACAGAAGAGUAAAAUAGACUCAGAUGACAUCCCCCUAGCUGAACGAGGCAGGGAUUUCCCAUCUUCAGCUGCAUUCGCUUAUAACUAAAAAAAAGGUGGCUUCUCAGAGUAGAAGGAUGGUUGCCAGGAGUUGGGGGAAACGGGGAGAUGUUGAUCAAAGGGCACAAUCUUUGUCAUGACAUGAACAAAUUUUGGGUUGUAAGGCACAGCAUGAGUGGUGGCAGCUGUGUUAAUCUGUGGUAGUCAUUACACGAUGCUUAGGUAUUUCCAAUCAACACAUUAUAGACACCGAAUAUAUACAGUCUUUGUCUGUUAAAUAUUUAAAAGAGGCAGCUUUUGGCCAGGCAUGGUGGCUCACGCCUAUAAUCCCAGCACUUUGGGAGGCCGAGGCAGGUGGAUCACGAGGUCAGGAGUUCGAGACCAGCCUGGCCAACAUAGUGAAACCCUGUCUCUACUAAAAAUACAAAAAAUUAGCAGGUCAUGAUGGCAGGCGUAUGUAAUUCCAGCUACUUGGGAGGCUGAGGCAGGAGAAUUGCUUGAACCCAGGAGGCAGAGGUUGCAGUGAGCUGAGAUCGCGCCAUUGGACUCCAGCCUGGGCGACAAGCGUGAAACUCCAUCUCAAGGAAACAAGAGACAGCUUCUAGGAUGUCACCACCCUGCCCCAAUUUAUUACUGGGUCAUAUUGUUUUAGGAAGUUUCUUCCCCUUAUCCUUUAGUUUCUGCAUUUAAAGAGGGACAGGGGCUAGGUGGGGUGGGAGAGGCCAUGGCCUCAGGCACACAUUUAAGGUGGUAUCCCAAAUCUCAGCUGAUCAAGGUAAAUACCAUAACGCAACUUUUUAAAAACCAAAAUGAAUGCAAAAGAAACCUACAAUGAACAGGAUGUCAGAACUCUAAACACGGGAUCCAACUCUGCUUGCACAGCCCUGACUUGCCCUAAUCCCAGGCCAACUUUCCACAGAACUACAAAAACAAAGCAGAUGACCUGUGGGGCCACCGUUUGCCAAUCUGCAUUAAAAUAUUUUUUGGCGACUGAGUUCUCGGCACUCCCUUAAGUCUCAUGUCCCAGGCAAGUGCCUCACCCUAUCCCAGCUCUGGGUAGCACCUGGGAGAAAAACACCUGCAGACAGGUAAAGUUCUUAGUGCAGUGCCUGGCUCAGUCAUGAUGGCAACUCGAAUUGAGGCUCAUCUGCUUUCUUAGAAGAGGUUAAAUACAGGGAGACAAACAAGCUAUUUGUGUUCUGUAGUGUCUAGAAGGCAGCAAGAAACCUUAAGCAGAGGGGCGGGAGAUCGCCUUGAUUUCUGUUCUUCAGUGGAGAUUUUACAAGCUGAUCUGAGUAAAGAUCAAAAGGAUCCAGUUUUCCCCAAUACCUAACCGGAAACUCAUCUGUCUGUGGCAUGGAGCAACACCUUCCUUAAAGUGGCCCCACGAAAUUUUUCUAAAGAUGGAGUCGCAUUGCUACCCAGGCUCGACUUGAACUCUUGGGCUCAAAUAGUUCUUCCUAGCUCAGUCUCCCAAGUAGCUGGGACCAUAGACACUCAUUACUGAUGCUGGCUCAAUUUCAUGUUAACAUUUCCCCCUUGCCUUUUAUCCAAGGCCAAUCACCCUGUUGCUUGUACUUAGGGGUUAACAGACUGGCCUUCCAAAUCAUGUCCUUUUUAUAAAUAAAGUUUUAUUGGCCCACAGCUAAACUUAUUUCCUUCCCUAUUCUCUGUAGCUGCAUUACAGUGGCCGAGUUGGAACCUCUGUGCUACAACAGCAGUGGCAACAGAGCUGAUAACAAGUAGGACCAGCAAAGCUCAAAACAUUUACUAUCUGGCCCUUAACUGAAAAAGUUUGCGGAUCCCUGGGGCUCAGGUGAAGUCAAACUGCAAACAUUCUCAGUUUCCUCUUCCAGAUCCAGAGGGCUCUGCAAAUCAAGGCUGGUGUAAGAAUUGCCAUUCUGGUCUGUGCCAUGUCAGCUGCUCCUUUCUAUUAAGGCUGUUUUAUUUGGUUAUUACCUGUACAUUUUAAGUCUCAUUCUAGCAGGUUUAGCCAGUUCAGCCCCCAAUUCCGAAUGAUUUAACCCCAUCCACUGCCAUCUUCUAAUUUCCUAGAAAUGGUAAGGUAAGACUACCCCUACUCCUACAAGUUUCCUGGUCCUAGACUUCCCUCUUAGCCUACUUUUCUCUGAAUCUUGGAAUUCUUACCAGUCUCAAAAAUUCUUUUAAGUUACCCAAAUUCUUUUUAAUACUCAUUCAGCCUUAUUCUCUUGAACUACACUCUCAGCUUUGUGCAAAUCCCAUUUGUGUCUCUGCCAGAAAAUUUGGUAUCUUUUAGUGUGUUUUACAAGUCACACUUGCCAGUUCAGAGCAAAGUACUCUGCAGGAGGGCUUGCUACAUUCUAAGACCAUGGGCCAAAUCUAGCCUGCCACCUGUUUUUGUAAAGUUUUAUUGGAACACAGACACACUUGUUUUUUCUUGCAAUCUAUGGUUGCUUUUGCACUAAAACCACAGAGCUGAGUAGUUGCAAAAAACUUUAUGGCCCCACCCACUGCCUGAAGUAAAUAUUGGGUUCACAGCUUUUUACUCACCUCUGCUCUAUUGGGAAUCCAAGUUUGCUGGGUGAUACCAGCUUGGAUAUAAAAUCCUUAAAGUCCAUACAGCUGUUAACAAAAAAUGCCUUCUAAAAAGGCUGAUAUCUUUCCUCUUUGUCUAAAGAGCUAUAACAAGAAGUACAAGGAACGUUUAUGUGAUUUCAAUCUAUGGGUUCCCACUUGAAAGGUCAACAACCUUCUAGAACAGAAACGCAGAUCAGAUUCACGACAAACAGCAGAAAGAGAUGUUCAGCUUGAUGAGGGCACACAAGACUUUAUAUUUAAAAAGAGUAUUUGAAGGAAAGAUGCCAAAAGUAGAAACCAAGCAACUUUGGGUCACAAGGGCCGCUGCUUCUGGGUCACAGCCCAAGGGAGGCAUGCCAUGGGCUCCCUGGCCUGCUUCCAUUGCCUGCUGGCUAAGCGAUGCAGAGAACUACAGCAGCUGCCUCAGACCCAGAGGCUAAGCCAAGUGUUCAGGAUGGCAGAGCCAUUGGACCAGCUGUGGACUCUAUGCCUCUGAAGAUGUACUCAAGAAAUAAACUGGAUUACGUUUAA
Long non-coding RNA from Homo sapiens (human), 6739 nucleotides. RefSeq lists it as uncharacterized. The record is from RefSeq and is a predicted model, not a curated record. Lineage: Eukaryota; Metazoa; Chordata; Mammalia; Primates; Hominidae. The transcript has 3 exons.